Molecule: long non-coding RNA, 419 nt
Organism: Salarias fasciatus (jewelled blenny)
Lineage: Eukaryota; Metazoa; Chordata; Actinopteri; Blenniiformes; Blenniidae
Exons: 3
Source: RefSeq, a predicted model, not a curated record
CUCACUUCCUGGUGUGAACCGUGUGAGCCGUGCGAGCGGUGCUUACCUGUUGGGCCGCGUUUGGGGAUCAAUUCCCCCUUCAUCUGGGUGUCAACUUGCUGCUAGAUGAGUGGCUGUAGGGAGGUUGCAGACUCCCCACCUCUCCUACUGGGCGUGUCAGUUAAAUGUUUGUUUGCCAGGAGCGGCUAAUCUGCCGUGGCGCCCGCCAGCUGUUUUGUCCUUCCGGGUUGCUGCCACGACCAGCGUUGGCACACGUAAUCACGCCUGGUCUGCCUCUGCUCCGUGGAGUCGGCCGCCUGCACUCCAAUCUACUGGCUGACCUCCUGAACAGAGCUUGAACGCUCGUGGAACGCCAGGCGGAAGACGGAAGCAAUCUUUUUGGUUUAUUAUCUUUUCUUUCUGCUUUAAUUAAUUUUGUU